UACGUAGGUGGCAAGCGUUGUCCGGAAUUAUUGGGCGUAAAGCGCGCGCAGGCGGUUUCUUAAGUCUGAUGUGAAAUCUCGCGGCUCAACCGCGAGCGGCCAUUGGAAACUGGGAGACUUGAGUGCAGAAGAGGAGAGCGGAAUUCCACGUGUAGCGGUGAAAUGCGUAGAGAUGUGGAGGAACACCAGUGGCGAAGGCGGCUCUCUGGUCUGUAACUGACGCUGAGGCGCGAAAGCGUGGGGAGCGAACAGG
RNAcentral lists this unclassified non-coding RNA (253 nucleotides) under uncultured Caryophanales bacterium. RNAcentral's name for it is "uncultured Bacillales bacterium contains 16S-23S intergenic spacer region". It matches the Rfam family "Bacterial small subunit ribosomal RNA", at positions 524 to 776 of the family's 1533-position model. The record is from RNAcentral. Lineage: Bacteria; Bacillati; Bacillota; Bacilli; Caryophanales.